CUAUACAUGCAGUCGAACGAGUUCUCGUUGAUGAUCGCUGCUUGCACCGAGAUUCAACAUGGAACGAGUGGCGGACGGGUGAGUAACACGUGGGUAACCUGCCCUUAAGUGGGGGAUAACAUUUGGAAACAGAUGCUAAUACCGCAUAGAUCCAAGAACCGCAUGGUUCUUGGCUGAAAGAUGGCGUAAGCUAUCGCUUUUGGAUGGACCCGCGGCGUAUUAGCUAGUUGGUGAGGUAAUGGCUCACCAAGGCGAUGAUACGUAGCCGAACUGAGAGGUUGAUCGGCCACAUUGGGACUGAGACACGGCCCAAACUCCUACGGG
RNAcentral lists this ribosomal RNA (324 nucleotides) under Lacticaseibacillus paracasei. RNAcentral describes it as "bacterial SSU rRNA". It matches the Rfam family "Bacterial small subunit ribosomal RNA", at positions 50 to 345 of the family's 1533-position model. The record is from RNAcentral. Lineage: Bacteria; Bacillati; Bacillota; Bacilli; Lactobacillales; Lactobacillaceae.